RNAcentral lists this ribosomal RNA (468 nucleotides) under uncultured bacterium. RNAcentral describes it as "partial 16S ribosomal RNA". It matches the Rfam family "Bacterial small subunit ribosomal RNA", at positions 28 to 507 of the family's 1533-position model. The record is from RNAcentral.
GACGAACGCUGGCGGCGUGCUUAACACAUGCAAGUCGAACGGAAAGGCCCUGCUUUUGUGGGGUGCUCGAGUGGCGAACGGGUGAGUAUCACGCGAGUAACCUGCCCUUGACUUUGGGAUAACAUCAGGAAACUGGGGCGAAUACCGGAUAUGAGAUCUUGCUGCAUGGUGGGGGUUGGAAAGUUUCGGCGGUUGUGGCUGGACUCGCGGCAUAUCAGCUGGUUGGGGGGGUAGUUGCUGACCACGGCUUUGACGGGUAGCCGGCCUGGGAGCGGGACCGGCCACCUGGGGCCUGCGAUACGGCCCAGACUCCUACGGGACGCAGUAGGCGGGAAUAUUGCGGAAUGGGCGGACGCCUGAUGCAGCAACGCCGCGUGCGUGAUGACGGCCUUCGAGUUGUGAACCGCUUUCGCAUGUGAUGAAGCGUGAGUGACGGUAACGGGUAAAGAAGCCCCGGCUAACUACGUG